Tetranychus urticae (two-spotted spider mite) is the source of this 1518-nucleotide long non-coding RNA. RefSeq lists it as uncharacterized. NCBI's taxonomy places the organism in Eukaryota, Metazoa, Arthropoda, Arachnida, Trombidiformes, Tetranychidae. The record is from RefSeq and is a predicted model, not a curated record.
UUUCAUAGAUGGCGUUUCAACCCAGCUACAGAUUACAGUGCAUUUUAAUGCUGCUAUUUUUAUACAAUUAAAUUUAGUUUAAUUUAUUUUUUCGUUUUUUAUUUGUGUUUCAAAUUACUUUUGAAUACUAUGUGAACCUGGUGAAUCCAUCGAAUGGUUUGGUUUCUCGUUUAUUUUGUGUCAAACAAUCAAGUAAAUGUAGUGCAAAAAAACAAAUGAAAAACGGUAAACGGUCGUGGAAAUCGUAUCUGGCCCUAUACUGCGAGUGUGGCUGAUCGGAUUCGCUCUUCAUGUGUUCGAGUGGAUCCGUUUGGGAUUAUCGGUAUCCUUAUUCAUGUAACAAGGUGCAAUGAGAUGAAAAAGCAAGUUUAUGAAGCUAAUGUCGAUUGAAAAAAUUAUAUAAUUUCAAGGAUUCAAACUAGAAUUCCAACCUUGGCGAACGAAAAUUCCAAUUCCAUACCAACCUACAGAAAACAUGGGUAAAGAAACGAAAGGAGAACAAGAAACAAAAGAAACAAAGUUGUGUCCAAUGGAUAUUGCGUGAUGAUAAUUAAGCUAAACAAGAUAACAAGGAGUUAUAUUAAAAGCAAAGAAGGAAAAAUUAAAAAAAAAAUGAAAGAUGUUUCCAAAGAAAAGCCAUUACAAUUUUUUAUGCCUUCUUUGGCUUCGUACCAUUCAUCAUUUGUAAAUCUAGCAUUUCAUUUAACUUGCUCAUCCUCAUUAUCAUCCAUAUCAUCAUCUUCUCACCGCAAAAUGUUAUUACCAACAACAAUUGAUAACAAAGCAAAGCCAAGUGAAGUAAAAACAACAUCAAACGGAAAUGUUGCUGCGACCAAAAUGAAAGUUUAAUGUCAACAAGCAAACAAGUCAAUUGGCAACAAAGACACAUCAUAAUAAGCAAAUAAAUAUAUCCUCUCUGUCCACAAAAAAAGGUAAAAAAGGACUGUGUGAGAAAAGGUGAUAGAGAAGAAGAAGAAGAAGAAGGGGAAAAGGAAAGAUGAGAAGUCCAUAAACAAGAAGAUGAAGAGGCUCCUUAAAGGAUAAUUGGUCAUUCUCCGCGGACUUAACCUUUUUUGCGCUCAAAAUGUACCAAUUAUGUUGAUACGUUUUCUCACAAAACGUCAACAGAAGAAAGUUGCGUGUAAAUUGUAAAUAUGCGUGUUUAUGUGGUUUUUAUUCUUAUUUUUUUCUUCUCCUUUCAUCAACAACAUCAACAACUACGUCAACAGCGGCAAAUGAUCGUCUUAAUUCAUUCAAUUUCUCAACAAUGAAAGAGUAAAUGAUGAAAUAAUUUUAAUGUGACAUGAAGGAAAAGUAAUGAUUCAAAUUUAGACUUUUGUUUUCAUUUUAAAAAUGAACCUUUUUGUUUCUUCCAUCAUUAUUCAACAUUAUUCACUGCAUUUAUUGAUUACCAUCUCGUAUCCUGAUUGAUCAAUGUUUAUGGGUUUACCUUACCAUUUGUAAAACCAUUUCAAACUGAUUUUCAAUUUAUCACAAGAAAAAAAAGAGGAAAAAACA